RNAcentral lists this transfer RNA (72 nucleotides) under Amborella trichopoda. RNAcentral's name for it is "tRNA-Asn". The record is from RNAcentral. Lineage: Eukaryota; Viridiplantae; Streptophyta; Magnoliopsida; Amborellales; Amborellaceae.
UUGCAUGUGGCAUACCGGUUAUCGCAUACCUUCAUUGUGUGGAGGAUGUUGGUUCGAAUCCGCUCAUGGAAG